UACGAAGGGGGCUAGCGUUGCUCGGAAUUACUGGGCGUAAAGCGUGCGCAGGCGGCUUUGCAAGACAGAUGUGAAAUCCCCGGGCUCAACCUGGGAACUGCAUUUGUGACUGCAAGGCUAGAGUACGGCAGAGGGGGAUGGAAUUCCGCGUGUAGCAGUGAAAUGCGUAGAUAUGCGGAGGAACACCAAUGGCGAAGGCAAUCCCCUGGACCUGUACUGACGCUCAUGCACGAAAGCGUGGGGAGCAAACAGG
This 253-nucleotide ribosomal RNA is filed under the name uncultured bacterium. RNAcentral's name for it is "partial 16S ribosomal RNA". It matches the Rfam family "Bacterial small subunit ribosomal RNA", at positions 524 to 776 of the family's 1533-position model. The record is from RNAcentral.